GGGUUACGUCUUUGCGCUUACGCGCUUGGUUGAUCAGGAUUCACACCUCUAUCAAACCGGGUACCGCCACCGUUUAGCAAGGUCCUGCUGUCAGAUCAAAUUGAAACUACUUACCAAUAAAUUUAUUGGGCGAUCAACUCCUUAAGCACAUAUGGCAAAAUGCCGCCAUGGCGGUAGUAA
Molecule: small RNA, 180 nt
Filed under: Candidatus Nitrotoga fabula
Lineage: Bacteria; Pseudomonadati; Pseudomonadota; Betaproteobacteria; Nitrosomonadales; Gallionellaceae
Description: Proteobacterial sRNA psRNA2
Rfam family: Proteobacterial sRNA psRNA2
Source: Rfam by way of RNAcentral